GCCCUUUUGUAAUGGCGCUUCCAUUCUUCCUGACUUCUUCGGUCUAACCAAGAGUUUCUAGCCUUUUUGUCUAGGCUUGCGUUCUUCAUGCCAAAAAUUCAUUGUGCAAUUAGCCCCAUCGUGGAUGAAGCUUCAAGUAUCUUUAUACACAGUUUUCCUGAUGCUGACAUGGCACAUUUAAAUGGAAAUGAAAAUGAUGAUGGCAUCAAAAUGGCAAGCUUUCGAAGCCCCUUCUUCUAUAUAGCAAAGGUUCCGGGAGACAUUUAACAAAUAAAAUAAGAUUCAUGCCUAUAACCCCAGCAUUUCAGAUUUGGAGGCAAGAGGAUCUCAGGAAUUCAAGGUCAUCCUUGGCUCUACAGAUAGUUCAAGAUCAUCCUAGUCUAUAUGCCUCACCUCAAAGAAAACACAAAAACAAGGCUUUCCUCAUGGCUCAGCAGAUAAGAGCACACAAGCAUGGGAACCCGAGUUCAAGUCCCCAGUACCCAUAACAUGACCAUGAACUCGCUGAUGCUAUGAUAACCUGCACAAGAUCGGGGCAGCAUUCUGACAGACAGCACUAAUUAGACUCAGUAUGGUGGGGGGAGGAAGAGGGAGAGGGAGGACGUGAAGAAGGAGGGGCUAUGUUGGGGGUCUCGGCAGCAUUGGAAGGGGUUUAGGAGGGGGUAUAAUUACAUUCAUUGUUUGCACUUGUCAAAGAAUAAAUAAAAAAAAAUGUUUUAAGAAAC
RNAcentral lists this long non-coding RNA (725 nucleotides) under Mus pahari (shrew mouse). RNAcentral describes it as "lncRNA (MGP_PahariEiJ_G0005107.1)". Lineage: Eukaryota; Metazoa; Chordata; Mammalia; Rodentia; Muridae. The record is from RNAcentral.